CAUCCUCUGCGGUGUCCGAGGCAGAUCGGGAGAGCUCUUAAGCCUAACUUUCUCUCUUGGGAGCCAGAAGCGGUGGUGGCGUGCAUGUCCGUUGAGCGGAAAGCCCAAGCCAUCGAUGAGGCACCCACCUCAAAGCUUUUGCUUUAAGGGCAAACAUCUGCACGGCACAGGCGGAGGAUGC
This 181-nucleotide non-coding RNA is filed under the name Gammaproteobacteria bacterium. RNAcentral's name for it is "6S RNA". It matches the Rfam family "6S / SsrS RNA". Rfam says of the family: E. coli 6S RNA was the first non coding RNA to be sequenced, but its function was unknown until recently. The record is from RNAcentral. Lineage: Bacteria; Pseudomonadati; Pseudomonadota; Gammaproteobacteria.